This is a long non-coding RNA of Gorilla gorilla gorilla (western lowland gorilla), 411 nucleotides long. RefSeq lists it as uncharacterized. Lineage: Eukaryota; Metazoa; Chordata; Mammalia; Primates; Hominidae. The transcript is spliced from 3 exons. The record is from RefSeq and is a predicted model, not a curated record.
UCCUCAGUGAGUAUCGUGGGCCACAGAGUCCUAUUUGGGGAGAGGCAUUUGUGAAGCAGGAAAAGAGCACACGAGACUUGGAGCUGGAAGGCCUGGCUCCUGUACAGGCCACUACCCGUUGCUGUUUAACCUCUCUGAGCUCUGGUUACCUCAUCUAUAAAACUGGAAAAGAAAUAACAGCUGCUUGACUGAAUUACAUAUGGAAGGAGGGUCACUGUCACCUGGCCUCACCAAAAAUAGAAUGAGCUCUGCGUGGGAAGGGAAGAAGGAGGAGGUGCUGUGGCCAUAACCAUGAGAUGAAGAUGCCACAGUGCUGAGAUCCAGUUAUCCAAGGCCACAGGAUUAAUAUGAAGCAGUUUCAAACUCAGAAGGCCCACUUUUAACCACCAUGUUAUACUGAUGUAGCACAUG